Neopsephotus bourkii (Bourke's parrot) is the source of this 689-nucleotide long non-coding RNA. RefSeq lists it as uncharacterized. The transcript is spliced from 3 exons. The record is from RefSeq and is a predicted model, not a curated record. NCBI's taxonomy places the organism in Eukaryota, Metazoa, Chordata, Aves, Psittaciformes, Psittacidae.
AGCGGGGUGUGUGAGGGAGCGGCAGUUGCUCACUCGCCCCUUGCUCGCAUCGCUGUCCUGCUUAGCCUGCCCUGCCUCAGUGCCGGUAGCCGCCAUUCCCUCAGCAGAGCUGCAACUGACUGCCAUUGCUGUAGUGUGAUGUCUAUUGAGAGCUAGAAGUAUUGGAAUGAAUCUGCCUCUUAUUGUUUCCUAACCCAUUCAAGAUUCCUGCUGCAGUGAGCUUUUUGGACAGAUUGGAUUUCUGUGUGAGAAACAGAUCUCAAGUCUGCUUUUAAAGAAGACAGCUGUUCAGUCAUUAUAUUUACCUGAGAAGCCCUGUUGAAUUAAUUUAAUCUAUGUGACAAUUUAUUGCUCAGAAAUUAUUUGGCUUAACUCCUUUCAGAGUUCUUGUAAUGAAUUUGUGCCUGUAGAAUAUGAUUAACCAUUACAAGGUAGGUGAGUUAUUGGUAAGACUUAAGAGCAACAGGUAUCAGUAUCUUGUAUGCUUAAGCAUGAUUAGGUAUUAUUGAAGGUUAGUAUGCAAGGAAGACAUAGAAAUUCUCCAGAGAAUAACAGCAUCUGGUUAAUCUUUAUAGCAAGUUCAGAAGUCAGUGCUUUGCAGAAUAUCACGUGAACUGUGAAUAACCUGGCUAAUCUGUCUGAGACUUUGAUGCCUUGUUACCUUAUUGCAAAAGUGUAGCAUUACUGUA